This 253-nucleotide ribosomal RNA is filed under the name uncultured bacterium. RNAcentral describes it as "partial 16S ribosomal RNA". It matches the Rfam family "Bacterial small subunit ribosomal RNA", at positions 524 to 776 of the family's 1533-position model. The record is from RNAcentral.
UACGAAGGGGGCGAGCGUUGUUCGGAUUUACUGGGCGUAAAGGGCGCGUAGGCGGCCUUGUCAGUCAGGCGUGAAAGCCCCGGGCUCAACCUGGGAACGGCGCUUGGGACGGCGAGGCUGGAGUUCGGGAGAGGAGAGUGGAAUUCCCAGUGUAGAGGUGAAAUGCGUAGAUAUCUGGAGGAACACCGGUGGCGAAGGCGGCAUCCUGGACCGAUAUUGACGCUGAUGCGCGAAAGCCAGGGGAGCAAACGGG